Molecule: unclassified non-coding RNA, 86 nt
Filed under: Pseudomonas kilonensis
Lineage: Bacteria; Pseudomonadati; Pseudomonadota; Gammaproteobacteria; Pseudomonadales; Pseudomonadaceae
Source: RNAcentral
UGUGGGAGCGAGCCUGCUCGCGAUAGCGGUGGAUCAGCCAAGAUCAAUUUGGCUGAAAGACCAUCGCGAGCAGGCUCGCUCCCACA